Molecule: ribosomal RNA, 494 nt
Filed under: uncultured bacterium
Lineage: Bacteria
Description: partial 16S ribosomal RNA
Rfam family: Bacterial small subunit ribosomal RNA
Source: RNAcentral
GACGAACGCUGGCGGCGUGCUUAACACAUGCAAGUCGAACGGUGAAGCGCCUUCCUUUUUGGUGGGUGUGGAUGAGUGGCGAACGGGUGCGUAACACGUGAGUAACCUGCCCCCUUCUUCUGGAUAACCGCAUGAAAGUGUGGCUCAUACGGGAUAUUCUGGGUCUGUCGCAUGAUGGGUCUGGGAAAGAUAUUGUUUCGGUGGGGGAUGGGCUCGCGGCCUAUCAGCUUGUUGGUGGGGUGAUGGCCUACCAAGGCGGUGACGGGUAGCCGGCCUGAGAGGGUGGACGGUCACACUGGGACUGAGACACGGCCCGGACUCCUACGCGAGGCAGCAGUGGGGAAUAUUGCACAGUGGGCGCAAGCCUGAUGCAGCGACGCCGCGUGAGGGAUGGAGGCCUGCGGGUUGUGAACCUCUUUCGCCAGUGAAGCAGGCCUGCCUCGUUUGUGGGUGGGUUGACGGUAGCUGGAUAAGAAGCGCCGGCUAACUACGUG